This 340-nucleotide ribosomal RNA is filed under the name uncultured eukaryote. Its description in RNAcentral is "SSU rRNA". It matches the Rfam family "Eukaryotic small subunit ribosomal RNA", at positions 22 to 363 of the family's 1831-position model. The record is from RNAcentral.
AGUCAUAUGCUUGUCUCAAAGAUUUAACCAUGCAUGUCUAAGUAUAAACAAUUCUAUACUGUGAAACUGCGAAUGGCUCAUUAAAUCAGUUAUAGUUUAUUUGAUAAUAUCUACUACUCGGAUAACCGUGGUAAUUCUAGAGCUAAUACGUGCGUAAAAACCCGACUCACGAAGGGUUGUAUUUAUUAGAUACAAAACCAAUGCAGCGCAAGCUGGUUUUUUGGUGAUUCAUAAUAACUUCUCGGAUCGCAUGGCUCACGCCGGCGACGUUUCAUUCAAAUUUCUGCCCUAUCAACUUUCGAUGGUAAGGUAUUGGCUUACCAUGGUUACAACGGGUAAC